This 295-nucleotide long non-coding RNA is filed under the name Ictidomys tridecemlineatus (thirteen-lined ground squirrel). RNAcentral's name for it is "lncRNA (ENSSTOG00000032585.1)". The record is from RNAcentral. Lineage: Eukaryota; Metazoa; Chordata; Mammalia; Rodentia; Sciuridae.
UUCUUAGAGUUCUGGAGGCUGGAGGUCUGAGAUCAGAGUGAGAGCUCCCCCAAAUUCCUGAAGGAAACCCUGGGAGGAACCUCACCAUAAGCACCAAGAAGGGCCGAGGCCGUGUGGGAGCAGAGUGGGAGCUGACAGCUGCCCACACCUCACUGUCCCUCCCAUCCUUGCAGCCAGCCUGCCAGGUAGAACGUGCCUGAGCUGGAGCUCCAUCACAGCAGGCCGGCGGCCUACCCUGGCAGACACCCACCUGCCUGCUGCCUGCUUCCCACCAGCCACGUUCGCUUCCUCUUGA